This 379-nucleotide ribosomal RNA is filed under the name uncultured bacterium. Its description in RNAcentral is "bacterial SSU rRNA". It matches the Rfam family "Bacterial small subunit ribosomal RNA", at positions 30 to 355 of the family's 1533-position model. The record is from RNAcentral.
AUUGAACGCUGGCGGCAUGCCUUACACAUGCAAGUCGAACGUGAAAGCGGGGCAACCCGCAAGUAGAGUGGCGGACGGGUGAGUAAUACAUCGGAACGUGUCCAGUAAUGGGGGAUAACCUAGCGAAAGUUAGGCUAAUACCGCAUACGAUCUGCGGAUGGAAAGCGGGGGAUGCGGCACUAAAGGCUUUUGGCGAAGGUGGCCAAAGGUGAGUCAAGAGCUUUUAGUGCNGCACCUCGCGUUAUUGGAGCGGCUGAUGUCUGAUUAGCUAGUUGGUGAGGUAAAGGCUUACCAAGGCGACGAUCAGUAGCUGGUCUGAGAGGACGGCCAGCCACACUGGGACUGAGACACGGCCCAGACUCCUACGGGAGGCAGCAGU